Molecule: long non-coding RNA, 2696 nt
Filed under: Salmo salar (Atlantic salmon)
Lineage: Eukaryota; Metazoa; Chordata; Actinopteri; Salmoniformes; Salmonidae
Description: lncRNA (ENSSSAG00000098068.1)
Source: RNAcentral
GUGUGUGUGUGUGUGUGUGUGUGUGUGUGUGUGAGUGAGUCACCAGAGAAAACAUUGAUGAAACGAGAGGAAAAGGCCUUUUGGAGUUACUUUCUCAUCCUGUGUCUUUUUACAGAGACAUACAGCCUUCUCUUUCUGCCAAUGGCUGUGUGCUGUAACUCUGCUGUCUGUAAAGAAUGUGUCCUGGGCUGAUGUUGCCUUGAGGUCACAGAUCUAGGAAUGUAGGUUCUGGGAAACAGACCUUAGAUUAGUGUCUAGGGGUAACUUCCUUCUACUCAGCCUGGAAGUGCUGUGGCAUUAAAGAUGAAGUUGGACUGGUACCCUCCCGCUCUAAUGACCAUGGGAGGAGGGACUGAGACCAGUCACUGCCAGGGGAAAGGAGGAACUGAGACCACUCACUGCCAGGGGAAAGGAGGGACUGAGACCACUCACUGCCAGGGGAAAGGAGGAACUGAGACCACUCACUGCCAGGGGAAAGGAGGAACUGAGACCACUCACUGCCAGGGGAAAGGAGGAACUGAGACCAGUCACUGCCAGGGGAAAGGAGGAACUGAGACCAGUCACUGCCAGGGGAAAGGAGGAACUGAGACCACUCACUGCCAGGGGAAAGGAGGGACUGAGACCACUCACUGCCAGGGGAAAGGAGGAACUGAGACCACUCACUGCCAGGGGAAUGUAAUGAAGCCAAUUAGGAUAGAGAAAGGGGGAGAGAAGAGGAGAGGAAAAGAGGGGAGAGGAGGAGUAGAGGGAGAGGAGAGGAGGAGUAGAGAGAGAGGAGAGGAGGAGUGGAGGGAGAGGAGAGGAGGAGUAGAGAGAGAGGAGAGGAGGAGUAGAGGGAGAGGAGAGGAGGAGAGGAGGGAGAGGAGGGAAGGAGUAGAGGUAGAGGAGGGAAGGAGUAGAGAGAGAGGAGGGAAGGAGUAGAGGGAGAGGAGGGAAGGAGAGGAGGGAAGGAGUAGAGGGAGAGGAGGGAAGGAGUAGAGAGAGAGGAGGGAAAGGGGAGAGGAGGAGUAGAGGGAGAGGAGAGGAGGAGUAGAGAGAGAGGAGAGGAGGAGUAGAGAGAGAUGAGAGGAGGGAGAGGAGAGGAGGAGUAGAGAGAGAGGAGAGGAGGAGUAGAGGGAGAGGAGAGGAGGAGAGGAGGGAGAGGAGGGAAGGAGUAGAGGUAGAGGAGGGAAGGAGUAGAGAGAGAGGAGGGAAGGAGUAGAGGGAGAGGAGGGAAGGAGAGGAGGGAAGGAGUAGAGGGAGAGGAGGGAAGGAGUAGAGAGAGAGGAGGGAAGGAGUAGAGGGAGAGGAGGGAAGGAGUAGAGAGAGAGGAGAGGAGGAGUAGAGAGAGAGGAGAGGAGGAGGAGAGGGAGAGGAGAGGAGGAGAGGAGAGGAGGGAAGGAGUAGAGGGAGAGGAGGGAAGGAGUAGAGAGAGAGGAGGGAAGGAGUAGAGGGAGAGGAGGGAAGGAGUAGAGAGAGAGGAGAGGAGGAGUAGAGAGAGAGGAGAGGAGGAGGAGAGGGAGAGGAGAGGAGGAGUAGAGAGAGGAGAGGAGGAGUAGAGAGAGAGGAGAGGAGGGAGAGGAGAGGAGUAGAGAGAGAGAGGAGAGGAGGAGUAGAGGGAGAGGAGAGGAGGAGUAGAGAGAGGAAAGGAGGAGUAGAGGGAGAGGAGAGGAGGAGUAGAGAGAGGAGAGGAGGAAGAGAGAGGAGAGGAGGGAGAGGAGAGGAGGAGUAGAGGGAGAGGAGAGGAGGAGUAGAGAGAGGAAAGGAGGAGUAGAGGGAGAGGAGAGGAGGAGUAGAGGGAGAGGAGAGGAGGAGUAGAGGGAGAGGAGAGGAGGAGUAGAGGGAGAGGAGAGGAGGAGUAGAGAGAGGAGAGGAGGAGUAGAGAGAGAGGAGAGGAGGGAGAGGAGAGGAGGAGUAGAGAGAGAGAGGAGAGGAGGAGUAGAGGGAGAGGAGAGGAGGAGUAGAGAGAGAGGAGAGGUGAAGAAAGGAGGGUAGGGAGAGAAGAAGGAGAGGGUAUGAGGAAUGGGCGAUCUAUCCCUCUCCUAUCACGUUCCACCCUGUUUGUCUCUCAGUGCUCCCAUCCUUCUACCUUCUUUCUCUCUCCCUCUCUCUCUCCCUCUCUCUCUCCCUCUCUCUCUGUCUCCACAUAAUCCUCUUUUGUUUGACUCUGUCAUACUCUUUCUGCUUUUUAAUCUGGAUAAUUAGGUUUAUACCUCUCCCUGGUUGUUACUCUCCCUUAGACAAUAGUGGAAUAAAGUGCAAAAUAAUGUUCCUAUUAUGGAACAAUCAUUAUUUCAUCUCACCAUGAGUUAUUUUCUGGGUGUACUUUGUCUGAUCUUGGCAAUGUUUUUAAUUGUAUUAUUACUUUUUAAAAUCCAGAAACAUUCAACCCUGAGGUAAUGACAUCACCACCACUGAUUGACAAGAGCCAAUUUGAUCAUUCUUAGUUAAUUGUAAUUCUGUUGUUGUUGAGACAGGAUCCAUGCCUCCAUUGGACUGACUUUAUCAAUAUCAGUGGGUGAGUGCAUCUCCAUGCUCAAAACUGGCUUCCUCUCCCUGUCUCUUCUCUUUCAUCUCUACUGAUCUGAAAACACAGGAUAGGUCAAAACAAUGUGGAUGGAAUUUGCUCCCAGCCGUCCAGUUCUCUGGGAUCAGUGCAGAUGAAUGAAAGGAGACGAGGAGAUGAGAGGAAGGGUUAGACUAUUGCGAUGCAGCCG